GACGAACGCUGGCGGCGUGCUUAACACAUGCAAGUCGAACGGAAAGGCCCUGCUUUUGUGGGGUGCUCGAGUGGCGAAAGGGUGAGUAACACGUGAGUAACCUGCCCUUGACUUUGGGAUAACUUCAGGAAACUGGGGCUAAUACCGGAUAGGAGCUCCUGCUGCAUGGUGGGGGUUGGAAAGUUUCGGCGGUUGGGGAUGGACUCGCGGCUUAUCAGCUUGUUGGUGGGGUAGUGGCUUACCAAGGCUUUGACGGGUAGCCGGCCUGAGAGGGUGACCGGCCACAUUGGGACUGAGAUACGGCCCAGACUCCUACGGGAGGCAGCAGUGGAGAAUAUUGCACAAUGGGCGGAAGCCUGAUGCAGCAACGCCGCGUGCGGGAUGACGGCCUUCGGGUUGUAAACCGCUUUCGCCUGUGACGAAGCGUGAGUGACGGUAAUGGGUAAAGAAGCACCGGCUAACUACGUG
This 468-nucleotide ribosomal RNA is filed under the name uncultured bacterium. Its description in RNAcentral is "partial 16S ribosomal RNA". It matches the Rfam family "Bacterial small subunit ribosomal RNA", at positions 28 to 507 of the family's 1533-position model. The record is from RNAcentral.